ACGAAGGGUGCAAGCGUUACUCGGAAUUACUGGGCGUAAAGCGUGCGUAGGUGGUUUGGUAAGUCUGAUGUGAAAGCCCUGGGCUCAACCUGGGAACUGCAUUGGAAACUGGCUUACUAGAGUGCGGUAGAGGGGUGUGGAAUUCCUGGUGUAGCGGUGAAAUGCGUAGAUAUCAGGAGGAAUACCGGUGGCGAAAGCGACUCUCUGGACGGCAACUGACGCUGAGGCACGAAAGCGUGGGGAGCAAACAGGA
This 253-nucleotide ribosomal RNA is filed under the name uncultured prokaryote. RNAcentral's name for it is "partial 16S ribosomal RNA". It matches the Rfam family "Bacterial small subunit ribosomal RNA", at positions 525 to 777 of the family's 1533-position model. The record is from RNAcentral.